AGCGCGGGAGCAAUCCUGGCGGCGAGUGGCGAACGGGUGAGUAAUAUAUCGGAACGUGCCCAGUAGUGGGGGAUAGCCCGGCGAAAGCCGGAUUAAUACCGCAUACGACCUGAGGGUGAAAGCGGGGGAUCGCAAGACCUCGCGCUACUGGAGCGGCCGAUAUCAGAUUAGCUAGUUGGUGGGGUAAAGGCCUACCAAGGCAACGAUCUGUAGUUGGUCUGAGAGGACGACCAGCCACACUGGGACUGAGACACGGCCCAGACUCCUACGGGAGGCAGCAGUGGGGAAUUUUGGACAAUGGGCGCAAGCCUGAUCCAGCAAUGCCGCGUGCAGGAAGAAGGCCUUCGGGUUGUAAACUGCUUUUGUCAGGGAA
This 373-nucleotide ribosomal RNA is filed under the name uncultured Aquabacterium sp. Its description in RNAcentral is "bacterial SSU rRNA". It matches the Rfam family "Bacterial small subunit ribosomal RNA", at positions 71 to 446 of the family's 1533-position model. The record is from RNAcentral. Lineage: Bacteria; Pseudomonadati; Pseudomonadota; Betaproteobacteria; Burkholderiales; Sphaerotilaceae.